Molecule: ribosomal RNA, 493 nt
Filed under: uncultured bacterium
Lineage: Bacteria
Description: bacterial SSU rRNA
Rfam family: Bacterial small subunit ribosomal RNA
Source: RNAcentral
GAUGAACGCUAGCGGCAGGCUUAACACAUGCAAGUCGAGGGGUAUCACGCUUUCGGGCGUGAGAGACCGGCGCACGGGUGCGUAACGCGUAUACAAUCUACCUUUUACAGAGGGAUAGCCCAGAGAAAUUUGGAUUAAUACCUCAUAGUAUUUUCGAAUGGCAUCAUUUGAUUAUUAAAGUUCCAACGGUAAAAGAUGAGUAUGCGUCCCAUUAGCUAGAUGGUAAGGUAACGGCUUACCAUGGCAACGAUGGGUAGGGGUCCUGAGAGGGAGAUCCCCCACACUGGUACUGAGACACGGACCAGACUCCUACGGGAGGCAGCAGUGAGGAAUAUUGGACAAUGGGCGCAAGCCUGAUCCAGCCAUGCCGCGUGCAGGAAGACGGUCCUAUGGAUUGUAAACUGCUUUUAUUAGGAAUAAACCUUACUACGUGUAGUAAGCUGAAGGUACUGAAUGAAUAAGCACCGGCUAACUCCGUGCCAGCAGCCGCGGU